Long non-coding RNA from Mya arenaria, 438 nucleotides. RefSeq lists it as uncharacterized. NCBI's taxonomy places the organism in Eukaryota, Metazoa, Mollusca, Bivalvia, Myida, Myidae. The record is from RefSeq and is a predicted model, not a curated record. The transcript has 3 exons.
UUGCGUAGUCCGUGGGCAGAUGAGUAACUGGAUAUUUUCAGCCGUAUCGAUUGUGACGAUAUAAAAUACAGGACCUGAUCAGAGUAUUGGAACUAAACUAGGUGUAUUUGAUUGAAGGACAUAUAACUGAAAUUAUCGUAGACAUGUGUUUCAAAGUACAGUGUGAGAAAUGCCAGAAAUAUACUUGGAAAGGGUGUGGGAACCACAUCGAAAGGGUGUUGAAGGACGUACCAGUAGACCAGCGAUGUCAGUGCCCGCGGAAAUAACGCAUAAAUCUUAUUUUAUCUCAGGGUUUCCAGACAUGAAUUUGGCUACGGAAUUAUACUGUCAUUCUACAGCAAAUCCCUAUUGAGUUGCUCACUCCUCCUCUGUGCCAGUUGCACUCUUGCAAUGUAUUUAUUUUAUUUUCAAUUUUCUUUAAAUAAAUGUUAGAAUUGU